Molecule: ribosomal RNA, 252 nt
Filed under: uncultured bacterium
Lineage: Bacteria
Description: partial 16S ribosomal RNA
Rfam family: Bacterial small subunit ribosomal RNA
Source: RNAcentral
UACAGAGGUCUCAAGCGUUGUUCGGAUUCAUUGGGCGUAAAGGGUGCGUAGGCGGCGCGGUAAGUCGGGUGUGAAAUCUUGGAGCUUAACUCCGAAACUGCAUUCGAUACUGCCGUGCUUGAGGACUGGAGAGGAGACUGGAAUUUACGGUGUAGCGGUGAAAUGCGUAGAUAUCGUAAGGAAGACAGUGGCGAAGGCGGGUCUCUGGACAGUUCCUGACGCUGAGGCACGAAGGUCAGGGGAGCAAACGGG